Molecule: ribosomal RNA, 770 nt
Filed under: Streptomyces scabiei
Lineage: Bacteria; Bacillati; Actinomycetota; Actinomycetes; Kitasatosporales; Streptomycetaceae
Description: bacterial LSU rRNA
Rfam family: Bacterial large subunit ribosomal RNA
Source: RNAcentral
GUGAAGCUCGGACGCCAGUUCGGGUGGAGUCGUCGUUGAAAUACCAGUCUGGUCGUGCUGGAUGUCUAACCUGGGUCCGUGAUCCGGAUCAGGGACAGUGUCUGAUGGGUAGUUUAACUGGGGCGGUUGCCUCCCAAAGGGUAACGGAGGCGCCCAAAGGUUCCCUCAGCCUGGUUGGCAAUCAGGUGGUGAGUGUAAGUGCACAAGGGAGCUUGACUGUGAGACCGACGGGUCGAGCAGGGACGAAAGUCGGGACUAGUGAUCCGGCGGUGGCUUGUGGAAGCGCCGUCGCUCAACGGAUAAAAGGUACCCCGGGGAUAACAGGCUGAUCUUCCCCAAGAGUCCAUAUCGACGGGAUGGUUUGGCACCUCGAUGUCGGCUCGUCGCAUCCUGGGGCUGGAGUCGGUCCCAAGGGUUGGGCUGUUCGCCCAUUAAAGCGGUACGCGAGCUGGGUUUAGAACGUCGUGAGACAGUUCGGUCCCUAUCCGCUGCGCGCGCAGGAAUAUUGAGAAGGGCUGUCCCUAGUACGAGAGGACCGGGACGGACGAACCUCUGGUGUGCCAGUUGUUCUGCCAAGGGCAUGGCUGGUUGGCUACGUUCGGGAGGGAUAACCGCUGAAAGCAUCUAAGCGGGAAGCCUGCUUCGAGAUGAGUAUUCCCACCCACUUGAUGGGGUAAGGCUCCCAGUAGACGACUGGGUUGAUAGGCCAGAUAUGGAAGCCCAGUAAUGGGUGGAGUUGACUGGUACUAAUAGGCCGAGGGCUUGUCCUC